GGAUGUGGCUCAGUGGUCGAGUGCCUCUGAGUUUAGUCCCCAGUACCAAAUAAAUAAAUAAAUGAGCAAAAUGUAGGGAAAUUUGUAUAUGAUUUGUAUAUGAGUAAUCUAGAAGUUUUCAGAUUAUUCAUUAACAGCCUCUUUUUCCUGUUUAUAUGUUCUAUCCAUAGGAAAUACCAUGAUGGGUUUUAUUUGUUUGUUUUCCUGCACUUUAUUCAGACUUAUUUAGUUUUAACCUAAUAACCUUUUCCUGUUCCAGGCUCCCAUCCAGGACACCACAUUACAAUCAUUCAUCGUGUCUCCUGAGGUUUGUUUUGGCUGUAAGAGUUUCCCAGAAUUUUCUUGUUUUGAAUGACCUUGACAUGAUGACCCUGAUAAUUUUGAAAAGUGCUGGUCAAGUAUUUUGUAGAAUGUUCCUUGUACCAUUAAAAAAAAAAUGGGGGGGGGGAUUCUUUGUGCAUUUCUUGUCUAAUCUGAGCAGACUGAACACGUGACAUGAUUGAAUCUACAGUAUAUAAAAUAAGAGAGAAAUAAAUUCUGAUGAGGAUCUGGGAAGGCUUUUCACCACAAGUAGGUUUUAAACUUGCCUUUAAAGAAAUCAGCUGGGUUUGUGGUGGGGCUGGCAGGGGUGGGAGAGCAAUAGCAUGAACAUGGGGAAUGCAAGUCAUGUUCUAGUAAGGAACUGAUGUUUCAGUGCAGUUUAUAAAAC
RNAcentral lists this long non-coding RNA (709 nucleotides) under Marmota monax (woodchuck). The record is from RNAcentral. Lineage: Eukaryota; Metazoa; Chordata; Mammalia; Rodentia; Sciuridae.